AUUCCCCUAGUAACGGCGAGUGAAGCGGGAACAGCUCAAAUUUGAAAUCUGGCCCUCGGGUCCGAGUUGUAAUUUGCAGAGGAUGCUUUUGGCGCGGUGCCUUCCGAGUUCCCUGGAACGGGACGCCUUAGAGGGUGAGAGCCCCGUACGGUUGGCCACCAAGCCUGUGUAAAGCUCCUUCGACGAGUCGAGUAGUUUGGGAAUGCUGCUCAAAACGGGAGGUAUAUUUCUUCUAAAGCUAAAUACUGGCCAGAGACCGAUAGCGCACAAGUAGAGUGAUCGAAAGAUGAAAAGCACUUUGAAAAGAGGGUUAAAUAGCACGUGAAAUUGUUGAAAGGGAAGGGUUUAUGACCAGACUUUUUCUAGGGGGAUCAUCCGGUGUUCUCACCGGUGCACUUCCCCUAGUUGAGGCCAGCAUCGGUUUCUGCCGGGGGAUAAAAGCUUCGGGAAUGUGGCUCCUUCGGGAGUGUUAUAGCCCGUUGUAUAAUACCCUGGCGGGGACCGAGGUUCGCGCAUUCGCAAGGAUGCUGGCGUAAUGGUUAUUAACCACCCGUCUUGAAACACGGACCAAGGAGUCGAACAUUUGUGCGAGUGUUUGGGUGUUAAACCCUCACGCGUAAUGAAAGUGAACGGAGGUGAGAGCCUUUAGGGGUGCAUCAUCGACCGAUCCUGAUGUCUUCGGAUGGAUUUGAGUAGGAGCAUCACUGUUCGGACCCGAAAGAUGGUGAACUAUGCGUGGAUAGGGUGAAGCCAGAGGAAACUCUGGUGGAGGCUCGCAGCGGUUCUGACGUGCAAAUCGAUCGUCAAAUCUGCGCAUGGGGGCGAAAGACUAAUCGAACCAUCUAGUAGCU
RNAcentral lists this ribosomal RNA (851 nucleotides) under Apiospora setosa. RNAcentral describes it as "eukaryotic LSU rRNA". It matches the Rfam family "Eukaryotic large subunit ribosomal RNA", at positions 74 to 952 of the family's 3401-position model. The record is from RNAcentral. Lineage: Eukaryota; Fungi; Ascomycota; Sordariomycetes; Amphisphaeriales; Apiosporaceae.